Molecule: long non-coding RNA, 648 nt
Filed under: Coturnix japonica (Japanese quail)
Lineage: Eukaryota; Metazoa; Chordata; Aves; Galliformes; Phasianidae
Description: lncRNA (ENSCJPG00005000645.1)
Source: RNAcentral
UCAAGGCCAUCUCCAUCUAUUGGGAGCACAAUAUGACAUCCAUAUCUUCUUAUGGGGGACAUAGACCACAGUGUCACCUCCUCAAGGCCAAUUCCACCCAUUGGGAGCACUGUGUCACCUCCAUAUCUGCUUAUGGGGGACAUAGACCACAGUGUCACCUCCUCAAGACCAUCUCCAUCUAUUGGGUGCACAGUGUGACCCCCUGCCAACCAUCCAUGGGUGACCCAACAUCUUCUCGUUGCCGUCUCUGCUUGUGGGGUGACCCUAAUGUGUGUGUUCUGGAUGCUUUCCUCACCCUGACGUCCCCACACCAUCCUUGGGGGGCUCCCAUCCCCUCCCUAUGGGGUGGCACCAUAAAGGGGGAUGGGAAGGGGGGGGGGGAGGGGUGUCCUUUCACCCCCCUGUUGUGCUCCGGGUGUUCCCUUUUUAUCCUUUGGGAUAAAAACAACCAGAAAAAAAAGGUCUUGUUCCUGGAACAGGAGCGCGCACGCUGUACAGUUUUGGGUUGGUUUUUUUUUUGUAUAAAAAUUGCUGUAUAGUUGAGUGUAAUUAGUAAAAUUCAUUGAGGAAGGGAUGGCUGUGUGGGCUUUCUUUGUUUGGGGUGGGGGGGAGAAUAAAGCUUCAAGUCCUGGGGGUCCCCUUAAAACA